This 747-nucleotide ribosomal RNA is filed under the name Methanothrix soehngenii. RNAcentral describes it as "bacterial SSU rRNA". It matches the Rfam family "Archaeal small subunit ribosomal RNA", at positions 112 to 860 of the family's 1478-position model. The record is from RNAcentral. Lineage: Archaea; Methanobacteriati; Methanobacteriota; Methanomicrobia; Methanotrichales; Methanotrichaceae.
CCCUUAGGUUGGGUAUAAACCCGGGAAACUGGGUAUAAUACCCGAUAGGUCUCGAUUGCUGGAAUGCAUCGAGAUUUAAAGCUCCGGCGCCUAAGGAUGGGUCUGCGGCCUAUCAGGUAGUAGUGGGUGUAGCGUACCUACUAGCCUACGACGGGUACGGGUUGUGAGAGCAAGAGCCCGGAGAUGGAUUCUGAGACACGAAUCCAGGCCCUACGGGGUGCAGCAGGCGCGAAAACUUUACAAUGCUGGCAACAGCGAUAAGGGAACCUCGAGUGCCAGGUUACAAAUCUGGCUGUCGAGAUGCCUAAAAAGCAUUUCAUAGCAAGGGCCGGGCAAGACCGGUGCCAGCCGCCGCGGUAACACCGGCGGCUCGAGUGGUAACCGUUAUUAUUGGGUCUAAAGGGUCUGUAGCCGGCCGGAUAAGUCUCUUGAGAAAUCUGGCAGCUUAACUGUCAGGCUUUCAGGAGAUACUGUCUGGCUCGAGGCCGGGAGAGGUGAGAGGUACUUCAGGGGUAGGGGUGAAAUCUUGUAAUCCUUGAAGGACCACCAGUGGCGAAGGCGUCUCACCAGAACGGACCUGACGGCAAGGGACGAAAGCUAGGGGCACGAACCGGAUUAGAUACCCGGGUAGUCCUAGCCGUAAACGAUACUCGCUAGGUGUCGGCCACGGUGCGACCGUUGUCGGUGCCGUAGGGAAGCCGUGAAGCGAGCCACCUGGGAAGUACGGCCGCAAGGCUGAAACUUAAA